This 301-nucleotide ribosomal RNA is filed under the name uncultured bacterium. Its description in RNAcentral is "partial 16S ribosomal RNA". It matches the Rfam family "Bacterial small subunit ribosomal RNA", at positions 509 to 807 of the family's 1533-position model. The record is from RNAcentral.
CAGCCGCCGCGGUAAUACAGAGGUCUCAAGCGUUGUUCGGAUUCAUUGGGCGUAAAGGGAGCGUAGGCGGUCGGGUAAGUUGGAUGUGAAAUCCUGGGGCUCAACCUCAGAACUGCAUUCAAUACUGCUUGGCUAGAGUAUUGGAGAGGUGAGUGGAAUUCACGGUGUAGCAGUGAAAUGCGUAGAUAUCGUGAGGAAGACCAGCGGCGAAGGCGGCUCACUGGACAAUUACUGACGCUGAUGCUCGAAGGCUAGGGGAGCAAACGGGAUUAGAUACCCCAGUAGUCCCUGUCUCUUAUAC